RNAcentral lists this ribosomal RNA (433 nucleotides) under uncultured bacterium. Its description in RNAcentral is "partial 16S ribosomal RNA". It matches the Rfam family "Bacterial small subunit ribosomal RNA", at positions 29 to 507 of the family's 1533-position model. The record is from RNAcentral.
AACGAACGCUGGCGGCAUGCCUAACACAUGCAAGUCGAACGAAGGCUUCGGCCUUAGUGGCGCACGGGUGCGUAACGCGUGGGAAUCUGCCCUUUGGUUCGGAAUAACAGCUGGAAACGGCUGCUAAUACCGGAUGAUGACGAAAGUCCAAAGAUUUAUCGCCAGAGGAUGAGCCCGCGUUGGAUUAGGUAGUUGGUGGGGUAAAGGCCUACCAAGCCGACGAUCCAUAGCUGGUCUGAGAGGAUGAUCAGCCACACUGGGACUGAGACACGGCCCAGACUCCUACGGGAGGCAGCAGUGGGGUAUAUUGGACAGUGGGCGCAAGCCUGAUCCAGCAAUGCCGCGUGAGUGAUGAAGGCCCUAGGGUUGUAAAGCUCUUUUACCCGGGAAGAUAAUGACUGUACCGGGAGAAUAAGCCCCGGCUAACUCCGUG